RNAcentral lists this long non-coding RNA (247 nucleotides) under Homo sapiens (human). RNAcentral's name for it is "non-protein coding lnc-JADE1-1:2". Lineage: Eukaryota; Metazoa; Chordata; Mammalia; Primates; Hominidae. The record is from RNAcentral.
AUGUAAGAAGUUUCCUUUGUUUACUACGCUUAAUUGGGAUUCCACACAUGAAUGAAGAAGAGAAGACGGUCUCUCCCAGGGUGACUGGGAAAGGGAAAAAAAGGUGAUGAAGGAACAGUCUGUGCCUCAGGAGCAUAUUAUUUCAAGAAGCACAAAUGAAGAGAAAGUCCAAACCCUCUGGGACAGAUGGACUAAAUAUUUUGGUAUUGGAACCACAUGGGGAAAGGCAGCAGUUGGGAAACAGAAA